This 77-nucleotide transfer RNA is filed under the name Verrucomicrobiota bacterium. RNAcentral's name for it is "Verrucomicrobia bacterium (hot springs metagenome) tRNA-Arg". It matches the Rfam family "tRNA". From Rfam's summary of the family: Transfer RNA (tRNA) molecules are approximately 80 nucleotides in length. The record is from RNAcentral. Lineage: Bacteria; Pseudomonadati; Verrucomicrobiota.
GCUCCCGUAGCUCAGAUGGAUAGAGCAUCGGUUUCCUAAACCGGUGGUCGCAGGUUCAAGUCCUGCCGGGAGCGCCA